UACGAAGGGUGCAAGCGUUAAUCGGAAUUACUGGGCGUAAAGCGCGCGUAGGUGGUUCAGCAAGUUGGAUGUGAAAGCCCCUGGGCGUCAACCUGGGAACUGCAUCCAAAACUACUGAGCUAGAGUACGGUAGAGGGUAGUGGAAUUUCCUGUGUAGCGGUGAAAUGCGUAGAUAUAGGAAGGAACACCAGUGGCGAAGGUCGACUACCUGGACUGAUACUGACACUGAGGGU
This 233-nucleotide ribosomal RNA is filed under the name uncultured bacterium. RNAcentral's name for it is "partial 16S ribosomal RNA". It matches the Rfam family "Bacterial small subunit ribosomal RNA", at positions 524 to 752 of the family's 1533-position model. The record is from RNAcentral.